This 77-nucleotide transfer RNA is filed under the name Bdellovibrionales bacterium GWA2_49_15. RNAcentral describes it as "tRNA-Met". It matches the Rfam family "tRNA". Rfam says of the family: Transfer RNA (tRNA) molecules are approximately 80 nucleotides in length. Their secondary structure includes four short double-helical elements and three loops (D, anti-codon, and T loops). The record is from RNAcentral. RNAcentral also lists the same sequence under 9 other names. Lineage: Bacteria; Pseudomonadati; Bdellovibrionota; Bdellovibrionia; Bdellovibrionales.
CGCGGGGUGGAGCAGCCUGGUAGCUCGUCGGGCUCAUAACCCGAAGGUCGUUGGUUCAAAUCCAGCCCCCGCAACCA